GAUGAACGCUAGCUACAGGCUUAACACAUGCAAGUCGCGGGGCAGCAUGGGGGUUGCUUGCAAUCCCCGAUGGCGACCGGCGCACGGGUGAGUAACGCGUAUCCAACCUGCCCUUCACCACGGGAUAACCCGGCGAAAGUCGGACUAAUACCGUAUGUUGUCCAUUGACGGCAUCCGAUUUGGACGAAAGGUUUGGCGGUGAAGGAUGGGGAUGCGUCCGAUUAGCUGGACGGCGGGGUGACGGCCCACCGUGGCGACGAUCGGUAGGGGUUCUGAGAGGGAGGUCCCCCACACUGGAACUGAGACACGGUCCAGACUCCUACGGGAGGCAGCAGUGAGGAAUAUUGGUCAAUGGGCGUAAGCCUGAACCAGCCAAGUAGCGUGCAGGAUGACGGCCCUAUGGGUUGUAAACUGCUUUUAUGCGGGGAUAAAGUGGCCCACGUGUGGGUUUUUGCAGGUACCGCAUGAAUAAGGACCGGCUAAUUCCGUG
Molecule: ribosomal RNA, 490 nt
Filed under: uncultured bacterium
Lineage: Bacteria
Description: partial 16S ribosomal RNA
Rfam family: Bacterial small subunit ribosomal RNA
Source: RNAcentral